GCCGGCGACCGGCGCACGGGUGAGUAACACGUAUGAAACCUGCCCGUAGCAGGGGGAUAAGCGGAAGAAAUUCCGUCUAAUACCGCGUAACAACCCAUGGAGGCAUCUCCGUGGGUUUAAAGGAAGCGAUUCCGGCUACGGAUGGUCAUGCGUCGCAUUAGCUAGUUGGCGGGGUAACGGCCCACCAAGGCGACGAUGCGUAGGGGUUCUGAGAGGAAGGUCCCCCACACUGGUACUGAGACACGGACCAGACUCCUACGGGAGGCAGCAGUGAGGAAUAUUGGUCAUGGCCGCAGGGCUGAACCAGCCAAGUCGCGUGAGGGAUGACGGUCCUAUGGAUUGUAAACCUCUUUUGUCAGGGAGCAAAGGGCGCCACGUGUGGCGCUUUGCGAGUACCUGAAGAAAAAGCAUCGGCUAACUCCGUGCCAGCAGCCGCGGUAAUACGGAGGAUGCGAGCGUUAUCCGGAUUUAUUGGGUUUAAAGGGUGCGCAGGCGGAAUGUCAAGUCAGCGGUAAAAUUUCGGGGCUCAACCCCGUCGUGCCGUUGAAACUGGCGUUCUUGAGUGAGCGAGAAGUAUGCGGAAUGCGUGGUGUAGCGGUGAAAUGCAUAGAUAUCACGCAGAACUCCGAUUGCGAAGGCAGCAUACCGGCGCUCAACUGACGCUCA
This 666-nucleotide ribosomal RNA is filed under the name uncultured bacterium. RNAcentral describes it as "bacterial SSU rRNA". It matches the Rfam family "Bacterial small subunit ribosomal RNA", at positions 87 to 749 of the family's 1533-position model. The record is from RNAcentral.